AAGGCUAUACUUUAAAGGAUCAUUUCUGUAGUUACUCUUCAUUUACAUUUUUUGGAAAUCGACCCGCGAUGACGAGGUAUAUCGUUUUAUCUGACAGCGUGAGGUUUAUGAAGUUCAUUUCUAAUUUUGUCUUGUGGCAUAUUAGAAAUGAUGUUUCUUCGAAAAUCGUGAGUGGUGAUUUUAAUGAAUGAAUUCCUUUUGGUUAAAAUGCUCUGCGUUGG
Molecule: small nucleolar RNA, 221 nt
Organism: Bactrocera dorsalis (oriental fruit fly)
Lineage: Eukaryota; Metazoa; Arthropoda; Insecta; Diptera; Tephritidae
Product: small nucleolar RNA U3
Exons: 1
Source: RefSeq, a predicted model, not a curated record